CUCCUCUCAGUAUCGCACCUGGAGAGUUUCCAGUACUCUACCAGUCUCGGCUAUGGGAGGGAGAGUGGAGCAGAGGCAAACCCAUUCCAUUUGUAGCUUAGGCAGUGGCUAGCCAAUGGAAGGCCAACUGCUACAAGU
This is a small nucleolar RNA of Tachyglossus aculeatus (Australian echidna), 138 nucleotides long. The record is from RefSeq and is a predicted model, not a curated record. NCBI's taxonomy places the organism in Eukaryota, Metazoa, Chordata, Mammalia, Monotremata, Tachyglossidae.